This 400-nucleotide ribosomal RNA is filed under the name uncultured bacterium. Its description in RNAcentral is "bacterial SSU rRNA". It matches the Rfam family "Bacterial small subunit ribosomal RNA", at positions 30 to 428 of the family's 1533-position model. The record is from RNAcentral.
AGUGAACGCUGGCGGCAGGCCUAAUACAUGCAAGUCGAACGGCAGCACAGCAGAGCUUGCUCUGUGGGUGGCGAGUGGCGGACGGGUGAAGAAUACGUGGGAAUCUGCCCAGUCGUGGGGAUAACGUAGGGAAACUUACGCUAAUACCGCAUGCGCCUUCGGGGAAAGCCGGGGACCUUCGGGCCUGGCGCGAUUGGAUGAGCCCACGUCGGAUUAGCUAGUUGGCGGGGUAAAGGCCCACCAAGGCGACGAUCCGUAGCUGGUCUGAGAGGAUGAUCAGCCACACUGGAACUGAGACACGGUCCAGACUCCUACGGGAGGCAGCAGUAGGGAAUAUUGGACAAUGGGCGCAAGCCUGAUCCAGCCAUGCCGCGUGAGUGAAGAAGGCCCUCGGGUGUAA